GACGAACGCUGGCGGCGUGCUUAACACAUGCAAGUCGAACGGAAAGGCCCUGCUUUUGUGGGGUGCUCGAGUGGCGAACGGGUGAGUAACACGUGAGUAACCUGCCCUUGACUUUGGGAUAACUUCAGGAAACUGGGGCUAAUACCGGAUAGGAGCCCCUGCUGCAUGGUGGGGGUUGGAAAGUUUCGGCGGUUGGGGAUGGGCUCGCGGCUUAUCAGCUUGUUGGUGGGGUAGUGGCUUACCAAGGCUUUGACGGGUAGCCGGCCUGAGAGGGUGACCGGCCACAUUGGGACUGAGAUACGGCCCAGACUCCUACGGGAGGCAGCAGUGGGGAAUAUUGCACAAUGGGCGGAAGCCUGAUGCAGCAACGCCGCGUGCGGGAUGACGGCCUUCGGGUUGUAAACCGCUUUCGCCUGUGACGAAGCGUGAGUGACGGUAAUGGGUAAAGAAGCACCGGCUAACUACGUG
Molecule: ribosomal RNA, 468 nt
Filed under: uncultured bacterium
Lineage: Bacteria
Description: partial 16S ribosomal RNA
Rfam family: Bacterial small subunit ribosomal RNA
Source: RNAcentral